GCAAGUCGAGCGGUAACAGAUCUAGCUUGCUCCCAGGCGUCGAGCGGCGGACGGGUGAGUAACGCGUAGGAAUCUACCCAGUAGAGGGGGAUAGCCCGGUGAAAACCGGAUUAAUACCGCAUACGCCCUAAGGGGGAAAGGCCGGGAUCUUCGGACCGGUCACUAUUGGAUGAGCCUGCGUAAGAUUAGCUAGUUGGUAGGGUAAAGGCCUACCAAGGCGACGAUCUUUAGCUGGUCUGAGAGGAUGAUC
Molecule: ribosomal RNA, 250 nt
Filed under: uncultured bacterium
Lineage: Bacteria
Description: partial 16S ribosomal RNA
Rfam family: Bacterial small subunit ribosomal RNA
Source: RNAcentral